Molecule: ribosomal RNA, 457 nt
Filed under: bacterium D04
Lineage: Bacteria
Description: bacterial SSU rRNA
Rfam family: Bacterial small subunit ribosomal RNA
Source: RNAcentral
UUUCGGGGUACACGAGCGGCGAACGGGUGAGUAACACGUGGGUGAUCUGCCCUGCACUCUGGGAUAAGCUUGGGAAACUGGGUCUAAUACCGGAUAUGACCACAUGCCGCAUGGUGUGUGGUGGAAAGAUUUAUCGGUGCAGGAUGGGCCCGCGGCUAUCAGCUUGUUGGUGGGGUAAUGGCCUACCAAGGCGACGACGGGUAGCCGACCUGAGAGGGUGACCGGCCACACUGGGACUGAGACACGGCCAGACUCCUACGGGAGGCAGCAGUGGGGAAUAUUGCACAAUGGGCGGAAGCCUGAUGCAGCGACGCCGCGUGAGGGAUGAAGGCCUUCGGGUUGUAAACCUCUUUCAGCAGGGACGAAGCGUGAGUGACGGUACCUGCAGAAGAAGCACCGGCUACUACGUGCCAGCAGCCGGGUAAUACGUAGGUGCCGAGCGUUGUCCGGAAUUAUG